This 253-nucleotide ribosomal RNA is filed under the name uncultured bacterium. RNAcentral's name for it is "partial 16S ribosomal RNA". It matches the Rfam family "Bacterial small subunit ribosomal RNA", at positions 524 to 776 of the family's 1533-position model. The record is from RNAcentral.
UACAGAGGGGGCAAGCGUUGUUCGGAAUUACUGGGCGUAAAGGGCUCGUAGGCGGCCAACUAAGUCAGACGUGAAAUCCCUCGGCUUAACCGGGGAACUGCAUCUGAUACUGGAUGGCUUGAGUUCGGGAGAGGGAUGCGGAAUUCCCGGUGUAGCGGUGGAAUGCGUAGAGAUCGGGAAGAACAUCAGUGGCGAAGGCGGCCUGCUGGGCUGUUGCUGACGCUGAGGCGCGACAGCGUGGGGAGCAAACAGG